AUUGAACGCUGGCGGCAGGCCUAACACAUGCAAGUCGAACGAGUGGCGGACGGGUGAGUAAUGUCUGGGAAACUGCCUGAUGGAGGGGGAUAACUACUGGAAACGGUCGCUAAUACCGCAUACCAUCAGAUGUGCCCAGGUGGGAUUAGCGAGUGGGUGGGGUAACGGCUCACCAAGGCGACGAUCCCUAGCUGGUCUGAGAGGAUGACCGGCCACACUGGAACUGAGACACUGUCCAGACUCCUACGGGAGGCAGCAGUGGGGAAUAUUGCACAAUGGGCGAAAGCCUGAUGCAGCCAGGCCGCGGGUAGGAAGAAGGCCGUCGGGUUGUAAAGUACUUUAAGCGGGGAGGCGUUACCCGCAGAAGAAGCACCGGCUAACUCCGUGCCAGCAGCCGCGGUAAUUC
Molecule: ribosomal RNA, 406 nt
Filed under: uncultured bacterium
Lineage: Bacteria
Description: partial 16S ribosomal RNA
Rfam family: Bacterial small subunit ribosomal RNA
Source: RNAcentral